GGGGCCGACCCGGUUUCGACGUGGGUUGCAAAGCAGUGCAGGGCAUACCGAGGCUCAGUUCCCUCGUAAAUACAGCUGAAAAAGUAUAGUCGCAAACGACGAAACUUACGCUCUAGCCGCUUAAUCCGGCUGGACGCUGCACCACCUCUCCCGUGGGGUGGAUGGCGCAAGCCAUCGCAGCGUCAUAUACACGGGAUAUGUGGGAUGUUGGGUUACUUAACAUGUCACGAGAUCUAAGGUAACUCGCCUGAGCUAUGUUUGCUCGUUGACGCGGUCUCAGGUUAAAUUUAACAACACAGCUAAGUAUGUAGAACUGUCUGUAGAGGGCUUGCGGACGGGGGUUCGAUUCCCCCCGGCUCCACCA
RNAcentral lists this transfer-messenger RNA (364 nucleotides) under Methylophilaceae. RNAcentral's name for it is "RFPI01 sp009926205 Standard tmRNA". It matches the Rfam family "transfer-messenger RNA". Rfam says of the family: Bacterial tmRNA, also known as 10Sa RNA or SsrA, is named for its dual tRNA and mRNA-like properties. Its role is to liberate the mRNA from a stalled ribosome. To accomplish this part of the tmRNA is used as a reading frame that ends in a translation stop signal. The record is from RNAcentral. RNAcentral also lists the same sequence under 2 other names. Lineage: Bacteria; Pseudomonadati; Pseudomonadota; Betaproteobacteria; Nitrosomonadales.